UCUCGAUUCGUCUGGUGGUUAGGGUGUCUGCUUGUCAUUCCGUUGCUGACCCGCGUCUCGAAGAAAGAAUUCGAAAGUGGCCGGUGUUCGAUUCCCCGAUCGAGAG
This 106-nucleotide transfer RNA is filed under the name Hypomontagnella monticulosa. RNAcentral's name for it is "tRNA-Asp". Lineage: Eukaryota; Fungi; Ascomycota; Sordariomycetes; Xylariales; Hypoxylaceae. The record is from RNAcentral.